AGAGAAGCGGAAGGGAGAGAAUGGAAAUGGCCGCAUGCAGCUCCUCUCCCUCAGACAGCUCGGGGCUCAGCGGAAUGAGCACAGUCUGCAGGACAAGUGCGGAGGACUUCAGUCCCCUCUACUGUAUAUUGGCUUUAGGACUCAAGUUGUCCCUGAAAUAGAGGAAGGUGUUUUCUAGGGUAGUGGUAAUUAUCACAGUCAAAAAAGUAGGCGAGAGCACUUAGGAAAACUGUGCGGAGAUCGGCUGCUGAUGUGUAAAUACUGCUGAAGCUGCUUAUUCAAGAUUAGAAAACCUGAGACCCAGACGGGGGAAACUGCUUUCCAUGGUUAAUCGUCAACAACUGGCCAGGAUGGGACAGAAGCCCAUACAUAGCCUUCAUUCCAGGGCUCAGAACAAAAAGAAGGCAGUGGCCUGGGCUGCACCUGAGCUUGGCUUCACAUAGGAGGGAUUCUGGAACGCAGGAUCCUGACAACGACCUCAAGCCCCUGUAAAGCAACACAUUUUUUGGCAAGAAUCCCUGGGACAGAGAAAGAAUUUCUUCUCACUUAUUAUUGAGAAUGUUCUCAUGUCUUGCAAGGACUCACCCCAGGACCCAGUACCUUCAAGCGUUGGCUGUACGGAUUACCAGCUCCUGAAUUGCAGGCCUCUUUUCCAUAACCAGAAAGACUUGUAAGUGCUUCUGUUUCCUUCCCCAUAAACUCCUGGAAAAAGAACAGAAACUGGAGUCUAUGAUUUAUUGGGGAGAGAAAAGAAAAGAAAAAAAAAAGAA
Long non-coding RNA from Homo sapiens (human), 770 nucleotides. Ensembl annotates it as long intergenic non-protein coding RNA 2405. The record is from Ensembl. NCBI's taxonomy places the organism in Eukaryota, Metazoa, Chordata, Mammalia, Primates, Hominidae.